This 448-nucleotide ribosomal RNA is filed under the name uncultured bacterium. Its description in RNAcentral is "bacterial SSU rRNA". It matches the Rfam family "Bacterial small subunit ribosomal RNA", at positions 328 to 793 of the family's 1533-position model. The record is from RNAcentral.
GCCCCAGACUCCUACGGGAGGCAGCAGUGGGGGAUAUUGCACAAUGGGGGAAACCCUGAUGCAGCGACGCCGCGUGAGUGAAGAAGUAUUUCGGUAUGUAAAGCUCUAUCAGCAGGGACGAAAAUGACGGUACCCGAGUAAGAAGCCCCGGCUAACUACGUGCCAGCAGCCGCGGUAAUACGUAGGGGGCAAGCGUUAUCCGGAUUUACUGGGUGUAAAGGGAGCGUAGACGGUUAUGCAAGUCUGGAGUGAAAGGCGGGGGCUUAACCCCGGAACGGCUUUGGAAACUGAGCAGCUAGAGUGCUGGAGAGGUAAGCGGAAUUCCUAGUGUAGCGGUGAAAUGCGUAGAUAUUAGGAGGAACACCAGUGGCGAAGGCGGCUUACUGGACAGUAACUGACGUUGAGGCUCGAAAGCGUGGGGAGCGAACAGGAUUAGAUACCCCGGUAU